Molecule: non-coding RNA, 268 nt
Organism: Cinara cedri
Lineage: Eukaryota; Metazoa; Arthropoda; Insecta; Hemiptera; Aphididae
Source: the annotation of a GenBank genome assembly
AUCAGUCCGUAAAAAGUUUGUUUCAAUAUUCAAUGCUUCAAAUAAAUGUAUAGUUUGAUUUGUCACUAAAUCUGAUAACUUCUUCUCAGCCAAUUCUACUGCUCGUAUUUUUAAUUUUUUUGCUUUACCUUCAUCACUCCCUAAAUUUGAUAAAGCUGAUAUCAUGCUCAAUUUAUUUGCAUAUGAAACAUUGUUAUCAAAGAAUGAUAGACCUACUAAUGUGGAGCUCAAGUACCAUAAAUGACGAGAAAAACAUUCUAAAAAUAGC